Molecule: long non-coding RNA, 869 nt
Organism: Cyanistes caeruleus (blue tit)
Lineage: Eukaryota; Metazoa; Chordata; Aves; Passeriformes; Paridae
Source: RefSeq, a predicted model, not a curated record
AUUAAUAAGAAACACACUGCAACAUGGACCACAAUGUUACCAGCAGAGCAGCCCUCCAGGCACACUGACAGUAGAUGGGCUUGGUAGGGGGACAGGCUGAGGCUACACACCCUGCACCCCAAAUGUCUGGGGACAACCAUCACAUUCUUGACAAGCAGGGGAGCCCUGAGACCUUGUAACAGCAAACAAACAGCAGUCUGGAGGUGACAUCUUCAGAAAAGCACUGAGAUGGAUGUGGUUAAGCAGCCAAGGGGUAAGUGAAUUGAUUAAGAAAAGCAAAAUUGUUGUAGUUUAAGGCCUUGCGUUCGGAAGAUAUCGGGAUGUAACGGGAAGUUAGUAAACCCCCCCCCUCUGUUAGGAUAGUAAAACCUCCUGCAAUUAGCCAAUAGCACCUAGCUGUGACGAAAGCAGAUGGGAGUAACACAGUGACCCUAGGUUAUAAAACGUUAAAUUCUCCUGUAAUAAACACCAUUUCUACGCCAUCCAUCACAUUGAUGUCUUGUGGGUAGAUGGUCCAUGUGGCCAAGGAGAGCCACUGUGCUGGCUUCUGAGUCAGGGUGCUUGCCUUGCUUGAAAACAAACACAAAAUAAGUACCACCAAAGCUGUAGACAGCUCACACAUCACAGCUAACACCACCAGGGACAGGAGAGUAGGAAAAAGCAGUUGUUUGGCUUUGUCCCCCACAUCAGACUUGAUGUUAUCACAGCAACACUCCUACAAACACUCCUACGUGGGAAAAUGAGCUCAGCUAUGCAAGUGGGGGGAGAAGAGCUGCCCAGCCCUGGCCUGGGAGGAACAGUCACAGGGAAGGAAUGAAAAUGCAGCAGAAUUAAUGAAGAAUAAAGUACUAUUUCAAUGUACAAUUUAA